Molecule: long non-coding RNA, 536 nt
Filed under: Solanum tuberosum (potato)
Lineage: Eukaryota; Viridiplantae; Streptophyta; Magnoliopsida; Solanales; Solanaceae
Description: long non-coding RNA (STUB_LNC006578)
Source: RNAcentral
AUAGAAUUUAUGGGUAUCCAUUCAAUUUAACCCAUUUUGAAUGGGUCGGUUAUCCAACCAUUUAAAAGUGGGUCAAAUAUGAAGCAACCCAUAUUAUACAUCAUAAAAUAUGGAUAACUCAUGUGUAUCCACCAAUUGCACUCCCCUUGAGUAUGUAUGGGUGUAGGAACCUCUAAAAGUACACUCAAUAAGGGUGUGUUUGGUAUGAAGAAAAAUAUUUACCAAUUUUAUCAUGUUUGGACUUUGGUUGGCUUAAAUAUUUUAGAAAAAUAUUUUUCAAAUGGACUUAUAUUCCUCUAAUUUAAGAAAAAUGUUUUUCACUCGUAUAAAGUAAGGAAAUAUUUUUCAAAACUUUCCUUAAAUUAGGAAAAUAUUUUUCAACUUUUCUUGAACCUCACCACCCGAAAUGGGUCCAGACCUAGGAUCUGACUCUCGACCUAACUCAACACCCAAAUUUUGACCUCCCAACCUCGACUUAGGAUCACUCUUUUUUCAGAAAUAUAUUUUCUAGGAAAACAUGAAAAUAUAUUCCAACC